This 1542-nucleotide long non-coding RNA is filed under the name Monodelphis domestica (gray short-tailed opossum). Its description in RNAcentral is "lncRNA (ENSMODG00000032066.2)". Lineage: Eukaryota; Metazoa; Chordata; Mammalia; Didelphimorphia; Didelphidae. The record is from RNAcentral.
CACGGGGGUCCCUGUGUGUCCUCUGAGCUCUUUGCUUCCCUUGCAGCCUGCUCUCCCCCACCCCCAGGGAGUAGCUGCUGCUGGGGGGCUGGGCCUGGCCUGCAAGUUUUAACAUUGAAUCAAAUGCUUCUCUGCUCUCUCCCAGACGCCCCUUCCCAAGCGCUGAUGGUGGAGGGGAGGAAGCCUGCUGGGGAGCCCCAAGGUGGGAGCCUCGCGACAGGACCGGGGCAGGGUGCAGGGCCGCCCCAGAUUUUUUGGAGAUAGCAGGGGUGCUCAGCAGCGCAAAGGGAGGCUCGGGGCCCCGGGGGUGCCCUCAGGGGGGAGGGCAGCCUGCUCGAAGGCCGCAUGGCAAGUUGCUGGGGGCUGGGGGAGUGGGCAGGCAGCUGGGGGGUUGGGAGGUGAGCCUUGCAGCAGCCAAUGGGACGUGGCCCCUGUGCUCAGCCAGUCGCUACUUUUGUAGCCACUUGCCUAGUACAUAAGUGCAGGCAGGGAGCCGCCCGUCUCACUCCUAGACUCCGGGUCCAUGGGUGAGGCACUUCGAAUAACCGCUAUUGAGACCAUGAGCGGCGACCCUGAGGGCGGCAGCGGCGACAUCAAGGGGGCCGCUCAGGCAGGCUCUGGCUCCGGCUCGGGCUCGGGCCAGUCUGCAGAAGGUGCUUCCGCCGAGCAGUCCACCAGCUGUGACUCUGGUUCUGAGAUCGCUGCAGGCCAGGAGGUGGCCAAAGGCAGCUCCAAGGGCAAGGGCAAAGCUGGCUCUGGCGCCAAGGCUGGCCAGCGAAGCCCCAACCCCAAGUCCUCCAAAGGGAAGGGCGAGGAUCAGCAGGGAAUCCGCAAAGAUCUGGCCAAGAUCGAGCAGAAAGUGGAUAUCCUGCUCGAGAGGAUGGAUAAGUUCACCAGAGAGGCUGGUUUGCUGACAGAGGGGAACAAGGAGAAGCUGGAGAAAGCCGAGAAGCCGGAGAAGCUGGAGAAGUCCGGUAAAGGCGAGAAGCCUGGCAAGGUGGAGAAGUCCGAGAAGCUGCCCCUUUCUCAGCCACCAGUCCAGCAGCAGCCUCAGCACCAGGGUGGCAAGGGCCAGAAGAAGUUCAAGGGGGGUGCCAAGGCUGCUUCUGCUGAGGGUGCUGGUAGCAGCGGCAGCAGUGGCAGCGGUGGCAGUGCUGCCGGCAAGUCUGCUUAGAGGGAUCGAGCCUGGACCAGAGUGACGGCGCCGGAGCUGCAGCAGCAGAGCCCUCCAGCAUCUACAAGGGUGGGGGGCCCCCUCCCCAUGCCACCUGGGCCCUUGUCCUAGAGCCACGCUCACCUGGUCCCCUCUCCCAGCAUCCCCAGCUCAUGCUCCCAGUUGUCCCCAGUUCAGCUCUCUUGCAGGUGACCUCCUCUUUAGGGAGAACCCCCUGCAGGGGCUGCCCCCCUUCCCUAUAGCCCCCCUAGGAGGCUCCCACACCCCACCCCUCAGCAAAGCCUCCAAGUUGGGCUCCCUUAGCUCGCCUUGCUUUUCUCUGCAUAUUUAGCAAUAAAAAAGUUCUCUUGCUCCUUUGGUGACUUUUG